AUUUAUAACUUAAAUUAGUCCUCAUGAGAGCUUUCGUGAUCAAAAUCGUUAUUUUUAGGUUACAGCUAGAACUUUAGGGAGGUGCUGAUUGGUGCAAAUGCUUUAGACAAUUUCAGAUCGAAUGUAUUCUUCUUUUCAUGAUAAAAUCGAAUGUAUUCUUCUUUUCAUGAUAAAAUCGAAUGUAUACUUCUGUACGAUGAAUCUUCGAUUUUAUUUUCCUUUGAACGCAAAUGUAGACGAUGUUAUUAGUACGUAACUAGCCUGAUCGGCAUUUCUGUAAUCAGUUUUCGAUCGUGUGAUGCAGAACCGGAA
RNAcentral lists this long non-coding RNA (312 nucleotides) under Malus domestica (apple). RNAcentral describes it as "long non-coding RNA (MDOM_LNC001225)". The record is from RNAcentral. Lineage: Eukaryota; Viridiplantae; Streptophyta; Magnoliopsida; Rosales; Rosaceae.